This 433-nucleotide ribosomal RNA is filed under the name uncultured bacterium. RNAcentral's name for it is "partial 16S ribosomal RNA". It matches the Rfam family "Bacterial small subunit ribosomal RNA", at positions 29 to 507 of the family's 1533-position model. The record is from RNAcentral.
AACGAACGCUGGCGGCAUGCCUAACACAUGCAAGUCGAACGAGACCUUCGGGUCUAGUGGCGCACGGGUGAGUAACGCGUGGGAACCUGCCCUUAGGUUCGGAAUAACUCCCCGAAAGGGGUGCUAAUACCGGAUAAUGUCUUCGGACCAAAGAUUUAUCGCCUUUGGUUGGGCCCGCGUUGGAUUACCUAGUUGGUAGGGUAAAGGCCUACCAAGGCGACGAUCCAUAGCUGGUCUGAGAGGAUGAUCAGCCACACUGGGACUGAGACACGGCCCAGACUCCUACGGGAGGCAGCAGUGGGGAAUAUUGGACAAUGGGCGAAAGCCUGAUCCAGCAAUGCCGCGUGAGUGAUGAAGGCCUUAGGGUUGUAAAGCUCUUUUACCCGGGAUGAUAAUGACAGUACCGGGAGAAUAAGCUCCGGCUAACUCCGUG